GUCUCAUAAAAACCUUUAAACUUGUUUUCCUUACCUCAGCUUGACCUAUGCAUGAAAACAUAGAACCUCAUACCAAAAGGGUCAUCAAGCUUGCUUUAAAACAUAUCCGCUUUGGGUCAAGGGAUUGGAACCCUUUCUUCCCUCACGGGCCAUUCAAAACUCAUAACAUUUAAAACAUUUUCUCAAGAUCAUGCAUAACAAAAGGGAUUAACCAACACUCAAGGCAAAGCACAAUUCUAAACAUCUCAUGCUACAACACAUGGNNN
Molecule: long non-coding RNA, 266 nt
Filed under: Manihot esculenta (cassava)
Lineage: Eukaryota; Viridiplantae; Streptophyta; Magnoliopsida; Malpighiales; Euphorbiaceae
Description: long non-coding RNA (MESC_LNC009864)
Source: RNAcentral